UGUCCCUACGGGGCGCAGCAGUGGGGAAUAUUGGGCAAUGGAGGCAACUCUGACCCAGCAACGCCGCGUGAGCGAUGAAGGUCUUCGGAUUGUAAAGCUCUUUAAGCGGGGACGAAGAAAGUGACUGUACCCGCAGAAUAAGCCUCGGCUAACUACGUGCCAGCAGCCGCGGUAAUACGUAGGAGGCAAGCGUUAUCCGGAAUGACUGGGCGUAAAGGGUGCGUAGGUGGUUUGGCAAGUUGGUAGCGUAAUCCCGGGGCUCAACCUCGGUGCUACUACCAAAACUGUUGAACUUGAGUGCAGGG
Molecule: ribosomal RNA, 305 nt
Filed under: uncultured bacterium
Lineage: Bacteria
Description: bacterial SSU rRNA
Rfam family: Bacterial small subunit ribosomal RNA
Source: RNAcentral